UUCAAAUACUAUGGAGAAGGAAAUCAAAGAACCAUGGCGGAGCAGCCAUCGACAAUGCCAACAAAGAAAGGAAGUGGAGGAAGGAGGGAGAUCGGUCAAUAUAGUUAUAAACAUAAUCUUUCCAUAUUAUUUCGAAUAAGUUUGUGGGAUCAAUUGGUUAAAGCUUUGUUUAAAACUCUGAUAGGCCAGGGUUCGAUUCUACGUUGUUACAUUUUUCUUUUAAACGAAACUAAAGCAUCAAAAUGACGCUCGAUGCCACCUCCUCAAACACGUGUCAUCUGAGUCAGCUCUUAACUAAUAUUUGUUGAUGUUGACUUUGAAAUUGGCACUAUUUUAUAAAAUUGGCUUACAGAAUUGAAAGCUCUAUCCUGAGGUUUGAUUGUGAGAUAAUUGUAAACGUGCACACAUCUCUAGCUCUUGUAUCAUUGGACGCCUGGAAAUGUUAUUUUGUAGCUAAAGUUGGUGUAGGCUCUUACUGGAAAAUGAGUUAAUGUCAUGCUAAUUAAAGACACUGGUUGUUCAAACAAAUUCAGAAACAAGUACCUUGGGAUAAAUGAUCAGAGUCAAGUGGCCUAAACAGAGUUACCUGAGAACGGAUGCAAGCAAUAUCUGGUUCUUCCGCGGAAAGAACAAUACUCAUUAAUUAAUUAAGAGGAUCUUGACAA
Molecule: non-coding RNA, 665 nt
Organism: Camelina sativa (false flax)
Lineage: Eukaryota; Viridiplantae; Streptophyta; Magnoliopsida; Brassicales; Brassicaceae
Source: RefSeq, a predicted model, not a curated record